Molecule: transfer RNA, 72 nt
Filed under: Chelonia mydas (Green sea turtle)
Lineage: Eukaryota; Metazoa; Chordata; Testudines; Cheloniidae
Rfam family: tRNA
About the family: Transfer RNA (tRNA) molecules are approximately 80 nucleotides in length. Their secondary structure includes four short double-helical elements and three loops (D, anti-codon, and T loops). Further hydrogen bonds mediate the characteristic L-shaped molecular structure. tRNAs have two regions of fundamental functional importance: the anti-codon, which is responsible for specific mRNA codon recognition, and the 3' end, to which the tRNAs corresponding amino acid is attached (by aminoacyl-tRNA synthetases). tRNAs cope with the degeneracy of the genetic code in two manners: having more than one tRNA (with a specific anti-codon) for a particular amino acid; and 'wobble' base-pairing, i.e. permitting non-standard base-pairing at the 3rd anti-codon position.
Source: Rfam by way of RNAcentral
GGAAGUGUGGUCUAGUGGGUAAAACACUGGACUUGUAAUCAGAAAAUGUGGGUUCUAGGCCCAGCCCUGCCA